Long non-coding RNA from Syngnathus acus (greater pipefish), 672 nucleotides. RefSeq lists it as uncharacterized. The record is from RefSeq and is a predicted model, not a curated record. The transcript has 2 exons. Lineage: Eukaryota; Metazoa; Chordata; Actinopteri; Syngnathiformes; Syngnathidae.
CUACCGUAUUUUCCGCACCAUAAGGCGCUUCGGGUUAAAAGGCGCAGACUCAAUUGCAGGGUCUAUUUUGUAUUUAAUCCACACAUAGGGUGCACCGCAUUAUAGGGCGCAUGUAUGCCAUGACUUACGGUAAACAAACAAAAAAUAAAACGUCACAGGAGCAAGACAGUGAGUUCGGUUGUACUUUAUUCUAUUGUUUAACCAUGUACUCUACUGUACUCAGAUUAUUGUUAAUCGAUAUUCAUACGCAAAUCAGUCCAAGUCCUCAACUUCUGUAUCCAAAUUAAACAGUUGGGCAAGUUCGCCAUUAAACAUGCCAAGUUCCCUCGUCAUUGUCUCGUCGUUGUCACGGUGCUCUUCGGCAAUGAUCCUGGGUUUCCAGGAAGCUUGAAUAGUGCCUCAUAAGUAUGUCUCUUUGUCUAUGCCAUUUUAGAGGGUCCUAAUGCUGUUUUCUUUGCACAAACGAUAGCAUUUAUUUAUCAAUGGCGGCGGAGGUACGUGCUCAACGGGUUAUGUACAGUCCUCUAAUUGUUUUUUUUGCCCCGAUCUAUGUAAAAGGUAACGUCCUCUGAUUGGUUCAUCGGGUCUUCAUAUUACGCCUGUAUAAUACAGAAGCCACACAAAGCAACUUUACAGAUUUUGGAAUUUGGUCCACGCAAAGGUGCGUUUUUU